This 494-nucleotide ribosomal RNA is filed under the name uncultured bacterium. RNAcentral describes it as "partial 16S ribosomal RNA". It matches the Rfam family "Bacterial small subunit ribosomal RNA", at positions 28 to 507 of the family's 1533-position model. The record is from RNAcentral.
GACGAACGCUGGCGGCGUGCUUAACACAUGCAAGUCGAACGGAAAGGCCUGCUUUCCCUUGUGGAUUGCGGGUACUCGAGUGGCGAACGGGUGAGUAACACGUGAGUGAUCUGCCCCCAACUUGGGUAUAAGCCUGGGAAACUGGGUCUAAUUCCCGAUAGGACUGCAGGGUUGUGCCUGUGGUGGAAAACGAUUUUCUAGUGUUUGGGGAUGAGCUCGCGGCCUAUCAGCUUGUUGGUGGGGUAAUGGCCUACCAAGGCGGCGACGGGUAGCCGGCGGGAGAGGGGGGAAGGGAAAAGUGGGACUGAGAUACGGGCAAGACGGCUACGGGAGGAAGGAGAGGGGAAUAAUGGAGAAUGGGGGGAAGACUGAAGAAGCGAGGGAGAGUGGGGGAUGACGGGAUUCGGGUUGUAAACUCCUUUCGACAGAGAGGAAGGCACCUGGUUGGAAGGGUGGUGACGGUAGUGGUAGAAGAAGCACCGGCUAACUACGUG